GGGAGACAGUUCAUCUGUUCGAGGCAAGUGGUUUUUAAGUGGGAUCUUUGCAACGCAUCGUAACCCCCCCACUCACCUGGGAGCUUACCUGGUGAACUCAGUUCAUUAGACCGGAUUGGAGGCUUAGGUGCCCUCUUCAAACCAGUUAGGAGCUGUCUAGUGAUUUUAGGGCAAACAUAAGGAAUUGAUGUGUUUUUCUUUUAAUGCAUGCUU
Molecule: long non-coding RNA, 213 nt
Filed under: Phoenix dactylifera (date palm)
Lineage: Eukaryota; Viridiplantae; Streptophyta; Magnoliopsida; Arecales; Arecaceae
Description: long non-coding RNA (PDAC_LNC013062)
Source: RNAcentral